RNAcentral lists this unclassified non-coding RNA (271 nucleotides) under fungal sp. Its description in RNAcentral is "partial internal transcribed spacer region". The stretch from base 1 to 46 matches the Rfam family "Eukaryotic small subunit ribosomal RNA", at positions 1786 to 1831 of the family's 1831-position model. The record is from RNAcentral. Lineage: Eukaryota; Fungi.
AAGUCGUAACAAGGUAUCCGUAGGUGAACCUGCGGAUGGAUCAUUAACAAAGCAUUUAAAAGCUUUAAACACCACUGUGGUUGAAAGAAUAGGAGAUAAAGGGUGUGCGGGGGAGACGGCGGCAUUAGCCGACGAGCCCGCACCCGUUUACACUUAUUAACCCUAGUCAUUGAAUGAAUUAUACAUAUACAUGUUGUCUAUUAUACAUUUAUAAUGUUUAAUACAACUGCUAGCAACGGAUCACUCGGCUCUCGCAUCGAUGGAGAACGCA